Molecule: small nucleolar RNA, 140 nt
Organism: Acomys russatus (golden spiny mouse)
Lineage: Eukaryota; Metazoa; Chordata; Mammalia; Rodentia; Muridae
Product: small nucleolar RNA SNORA48
Exons: 1
Source: RefSeq, a predicted model, not a curated record
UCCCCAUGGCAAUGGGCAAAGAGACACCUUCUUGGUCAUGUUCUUAUAUUGGCCAGGGCAGAGCAUAUGGCAAUCCUUUGUUCAUCCUAGCUUGAUGCAUAUUGUGGUGGCCAAAGCUGUUUUAUGCCUAGGGCACAUAA